GUCUGCACUACAGAGCUUACACAAGGCUUGUGAAGUCGCCAGAGCGCAUAACUACUACCCAGGCAGCCUAUUUCUCACUUGGGUGAGUUAUUAUGAGAGCCAUAUCAACUCAGAUCAAUCCUCAGUCAAUGAAUGGAAUGCAAUGCAAGAUGUACAGUCCCACCGGCCCGACUCUCCAGCUCUCUUCACCGACAUACCUACUGAACGUGAACGAACAGAAAGGCUAAUUAAAACCAAAUUAAGGGAGAUCAUGAUGCAGAAGGAUUUGGAGAAUAUUACAUCCAAAGAGAUAAGAACAGAGUUGGAAAUGCAAAUGGUGUGCAACUUGCGGGAAUUCAAGGAAUUUAUAGACAAUGAAAUGAUAGUGAUCCUUGGUCAAAUGGAUAGCCCUACACAGAUAUUUGAGCAUGUGUUCCUGGGCUCAGAAUGGAAUGCCUCCAACUUAGAGGACUUACAGAACCGAGGGGUACGGUAUAUCUUGAAUGUCACUCGAGAGAUAGAUAACUUCUUCCCAGGAGUCUUUGAGUAUCAUAACAUUCGGGUAUAUGAUGAAGAGGCAACGGAUCUCCUGGCGUACUGGAAUGACACUUACAAAUUCAUCUCUAAAGCAAAGAAACAUGGAUCUAAAUGCCUUGUGCACUGCAAAAUGGGGGUGAGUCGCUCAGCCUCCACCGUGAUUGCCUAUGCAAUGAAGGAAUAUGGCUGGAAUCUGGACCGAGCCUAUGACUAUGUGAAAGAAAGACGAACGGUAACCAAGCCCAACCCAAGCUUCAUGAGACAACUGGAAGAGUAUCAGGGGAUCUUGCUGGCAAG
This 813-nucleotide non-coding RNA is filed under the name Homo sapiens (human). The record is from RNAcentral. Lineage: Eukaryota; Metazoa; Chordata; Mammalia; Primates; Hominidae.